This 443-nucleotide ribosomal RNA is filed under the name uncultured bacterium. RNAcentral's name for it is "partial 16S ribosomal RNA". It matches the Rfam family "Bacterial small subunit ribosomal RNA", at positions 338 to 795 of the family's 1533-position model. The record is from RNAcentral.
CCUACGGGUGGCAGCAGUGGGGAAUAUUGGGCAAUGGGCGCAAGCCUGACCCAGCAACGCCGCGUGAAGGAAGAAGGCUUUCGGGUUGUAAACUUCUUUUCUCAGGGACGAAGAAAGUGACGGUACCUGCGGAAUAAGCCACGGCUAACUACGUGCAACCAGCCGCGGGAAUACGUAGGUGGCAAGCGUUAUCCGGAUUUACUGGGUGUAAAGGGCGUGUAGGCGGGACUGGAAGUCAGAUGUGAAAACCACGGGCUAAACCUGUGGCGUGCAUUUGAAACUGUAGUUCUUGAGUACGGGAGAGGCGGACGGAAGGCGGGGUGUAGCGGUGAAAUGCGUAGAUAUGAGGAGGAACACCGGUGGCGAAGGCGGUCUGCUGGACAGAAACUGACGCUGAGGCGCGAAAGCGUGGGGAGCAAACAGGAUUAGAUACCCGAGUAGUC